Molecule: ribosomal RNA, 505 nt
Filed under: uncultured bacterium
Lineage: Bacteria
Description: partial 16S ribosomal RNA
Rfam family: Bacterial small subunit ribosomal RNA
Source: RNAcentral
GACGAACGCUGGCGGCGUGCCUAAUACAUGCAAGUAGAACGCACAGUUUAUACCGUAGCUUGCUACACCAUAGACUGUGAGUUGCGAACGGGUGAGUAACGCGUAGGUAACCUGCCUGGUAGCGGGGGAUAACUAUUGGAAACGAUAGCUAAUACCGCAUAAUAUUGAUUAUUGCAUGAUAAUUGAUUGAAAGAUGCUAUUGCUUCACUACCAGAUGGACCUGCGUUGUAUUAGCUAGUAGGUGAGGUAACGGCUCACCUAGGCGACGAUACAUAGCCGACCUGGGAGGGUGAUCGGCCACACUGGGACUGAGACACGGCCCAGACUCCUACGGGAGGCAGCAGUAGGGAAUCUUCGGCAAUGGACGAAAGUCUGACCGAGCAACGCCGCGUGAGUGAAGAAGGUUUUCGGAUCGUAAAGCUCUGUUGUAAGAGAAGAACGGGUGUGAGAGUGGAAAGUUCACACUGUGACGGUAUCUUACCAGAAAGGGACGGCUAACUACGUG